This 1255-nucleotide long non-coding RNA is filed under the name Homo sapiens (human). RNAcentral's name for it is "HSALNT0157131". The record is from RNAcentral. Lineage: Eukaryota; Metazoa; Chordata; Mammalia; Primates; Hominidae.
UGCAGUCAGACGAGAUUGUGCCACUGCACUCCAGCCUGGGCAACAGAAAGAGACUCUAAGAAAAAAAAAAAAAUUACAAACCAGAAUUCCUCCACACCCAAAGAACUGUGAGAAUCCUGACCAGCAGGGAAGAGGCCAUCAGCAGACACCAAGGUUGAGAAGGCGUUGAAAUGACAGAAAGACUGACAAAAUCUGUUUUUUAAAAUUUUACUCAUUUAAAAAUUUUUUCUUGAGACAAGGUCUUGCUCUGUCACCCAGGAUGGAGUGCAGUGGCGUAAUCUUAACUCACUGUAGCCUUGAAUUCUCGGGCUCAAGUGAUCCUCCUGCCCCAGCGUCCCAAGCAGCUGACACCACAGGCACGCACCACCACCACACCCCAUUAAUUUUUUUUUUACUUUUUGUAGAGACAGAUAUUCGGGCGCCCCCAGUCUAGCCACACGUAUGCCCCCCAGUGGUGGUUCUGGGAAUGACCAAGGUUGGCUGCUGAAGUCAGUUGUCUGGGCAGGUGGCAGGAGACAUUGCACAUCGAUGUGAAGCGUGACCCAGUCACUUGGAACAGCUGGACCUGUUGCAUCUUCCUCCUUAGCAAUAAGCCUCGUGAGCAUCGGAUCCUUCCAGAAAAGCCAUUGUGCGAUCGGGCCACACCCAGAUUAGCGGGCACAGCACAGCGGGGCAGUAGACACCCUCAGAAAAGGUGCCAGGGGGCGGCUGGGGCUGGACGGGCUUGUGCACUCAUCAGUCACACUACUUUUAAGAGCUGUUACCAGAUUACCUUAAAAAAAAAAGCUGUAACAGGCUGAGGAGGCAGGAGGAUUGCUCGAGGCCAGGAGUUUGAGACUAGCCUGGGCAACAGAGUGAGACCCUGUCUCUACAAAACAUAAAAGAAUUAGCCAGGCGUGGUGAUGCCUGUAGUCCCAGCUACUCCGGAGGCUGAGCGGGUGGGAGAAUCGCUUGAGCCCAGGAGGUCAAGACAGCGGUGAGCCCCAGCCUGCGCGACAGAUCAAAACCCUCUCAAAUUGAAAAGGGGGUUACCUCGUCGCUUUCAUUGGCCUUUCCAUGAUUCCUGAUGGGAUGAGGACUUUCUUCAUGGAAUUACCAGCCAGUUUCCUGCUCUGCGAAUGAUUUCUCCACAUCUCUGCUCACUUUUCCAUAUCGGUUUUUGUCAUUUUCUUUAGCAACAUAUAAAAACUCUUUAAAUAUUAAGGACCUUAAUCACUCCCAUGUGUGGCAAAUAUUUCUUAUUUCUUCCCCAACU